CAGUAGCCGCGGUAAUACGGAGGGUGCAAGCGUUAAUCGGAAUUACUGGGCGUAAAGCGCACGCAGGCGGUUUGUUAAGUCAGAUGUGAAAUCCCCGAGCUUAACUUGGGAACUGCAUUAGAAACUGGCAAGCUAGAGUCUUGUAGAGGGGGGUAGGAUUCCAGGUGUAGCGGUGAAAUGCGUAGAGAUCUGGAGGAAUACCGGUGGCGAAGGCGGCCCCCUGGACAAAGACUGACGCUCAGGUGCGAAAGCGUGGGGAGCAAACAGGAUUAGAUACCCCGGUAGUCCCUGUCUCUUAUAU
This 301-nucleotide ribosomal RNA is filed under the name uncultured bacterium. RNAcentral's name for it is "partial 16S ribosomal RNA". It matches the Rfam family "Bacterial small subunit ribosomal RNA", at positions 509 to 809 of the family's 1533-position model. The record is from RNAcentral.